UGGGGAAUUUUGGACAAUGGACGCAAGUCUGAUCCAGCCAUGCCGCGUGCGGGAAGAAGGCCUUCGGGUUGUAAACCGCUUUUGUCAGGGAAGAAACGAGUUUCUCUAAUACAGAGACUUAAUGACGGUACCUGAAGAAUAAGCACCGGCUAACUACGUGCCAGCAGCCGCGGUAAUACGUAGGGUGCAAGCGUUAAUCGGAAUUACUGGGCGUAAAGCGUGCGCAGGCGGUUAUGCAAGACAGAUGUGAAAUCCCCGGGCUCAACCUGGGAACUGCAUUUGUGACUGCAUAGCUGGAGUGCGGCAGAGGGGGAUGGAAUUCCGCGUGUAGCAGUGAAAUGCGUAGAUAUGUGGAGGAACACCGAUGGCGAAGGCAGCCCCCUGGGUCAAGAUUGACGCUCAUGCACGAAAGCGUGGGGAGCAAACA
RNAcentral lists this ribosomal RNA (427 nucleotides) under uncultured bacterium. Its description in RNAcentral is "bacterial SSU rRNA". It matches the Rfam family "Bacterial small subunit ribosomal RNA", at positions 355 to 774 of the family's 1533-position model. The record is from RNAcentral.